Molecule: ribosomal RNA, 253 nt
Filed under: uncultured bacterium
Lineage: Bacteria
Description: partial 16S ribosomal RNA
Rfam family: Bacterial small subunit ribosomal RNA
Source: RNAcentral
UACGGGGGGGGCUAGCGUUGUUCGGAAUUACUGGGCGUAAAGGGCGCGUAGGCGGUCUAUUAAGUUGGAUGUGAAAACUCUGGGCUUAACCCAGAGCCUGCAUUCAAAACUGAUAGGCUGGAGUUCUGGAGGGGAUAGCGGAAUUCCUGGUGUAGCGGUGAAAUGCGUAGAUAUCAGGAGGAACACCGGUGGCGAAGGCGGCUAUCUGGACAGAAACUGACGCUGAGGCGCGAAAGCGUGGGGAGCGAACAGG